AAGGCGUAACAAGGUUUCGUAGAACCUGCGGAAGGAUCAUUAACACGUAUCCAAACGUUAAAACAACACCUGUGAACCUUCAGCGUGUUCUUGCACAGCAAUCCCGAGUAUAUCAGGCGCUACAGAAUUACAGAUUUUGAUUUUGGGAAGAUCUGUGUGUUCUGGACGCCAAUUGAGCGCUAGAUAAAGCACCCUGGUACCCUAGAGCAAUCUCCUGUCUGAAGCGAGGAGCACUGUGUGUACCCUCCGGGACUUGGCGAAAGCUGACUCCGUCAUAAAUCGAAGAACUGUCAACAAUGAAUAUCUUGGUUCUC
Molecule: unclassified non-coding RNA, 314 nt
Filed under: fungal sp.
Lineage: Eukaryota; Fungi
Description: partial internal transcribed spacer region
Source: RNAcentral